ACCCAUCCUGGUGGGACCUCUCAACGGGUCCACAAUGGGUUACUUCCUUAUGUCCCCAUUAGGGAAGGACAUAUCCAUUCACCCAAUGGCCCAACACAUAUCUUUGGGCUACCUCUUGCUUCCUUCUUUCUCACCUGGACAGCCAUGUGGGGUUCCUCCCUGGUCCGCAUGUCUCCAGUCCUGCCCACUCCAGUCCAUUCCCGACACUCCUCAGAGAGGAGACCUGAUGGCAUCUCCCUGCCUGGGUCUACUGCUUGAAAACUAAAGGGAAGGUUGCAGCCCAGUCCUUGUGGAGAGGGGCUCACACGGUUCUUUAUCCAAUAUAGCUCUGUUUUCUGAGUAUAAAUGUAAUAAAUAAGGAACACAGGGAAGUACAGAAAAAUAGAAAGAGGAGGACUUCUCAUUUGGGCCCUGUGCAUUCAGAUAUGGCCACAUGACUUACUUUGGUGGAGGAGCUGUCAGUGGAGGUGAUGUGUGUCACUUCAGGCAGAAGCUUCCAGAACCAGUGCCUGAUUUUCCAUGCUCUUUUUUCCCCACUCUAAGAGUAUGUACGUGUGUAAUGUAGGCAAGACCUCUCGCUGGCAAAACCACCUGGAUGGAGGGUCCUCAGGCCACAUCCCCUGAUUAGCCUCCUGCCUCGGCCAGUUGGCUCUGAACAAAACAUAAUCUCGUUCCCGUGCAGACGCCAAUCCUGACCCAGCACAAGAGAAUGUGGAUGGCUCCAUUCAUGCCACUUCUCCUUCUGGCACAAUAACUCAUUCAUUGAGAAAAGUUCUGUUCUGUUACCGAGGAUCUUCCCAGCUGUCGAGGACACUGAGGUGGGCAAGACAGGCAAGGUCAGGUCCCACAUUAUGGAACUUACCUUCUAGGGGGACACGGACACACAGCUUGCUUUGGCUAUUGGUAGGCCACUCAACUGUAGGACAGCGAGAAAGAAGGGGAGAGAGAGACUGGUGACUUUGACGAGGCACUUGGAAAAUACUCCGGACAUAGAGCUGAUGAGAUUUGGAAACGAACUGCAUGCCGGAGUAUUUUAUAGAUAUGGCCUAGCAAGACGUCAAAGGUGGGAGCCUUUCCACUCUGCGCUCCUUGGAGAAAGCCAUUUGGAAGGUGACUCCAACCAUAGAGACAGCUGUGCUUUAGAGGCUGGUA
This 1152-nucleotide long non-coding RNA is filed under the name Equus caballus (horse). RNAcentral describes it as "lncRNA (ENSECAG00000054656.1)". The record is from RNAcentral. Lineage: Eukaryota; Metazoa; Chordata; Mammalia; Perissodactyla; Equidae.